AACGCGAAAGGCCCCUUCGGGGGCCGAGUAGAGUGGCGCACGGGUGAGCAACACGUAGGUAAUCUACCUCUGGGUGGGGAAUAACGACCGGAAACGGUCGCUAAUACCGCAUAAUGCAGCGGCACCACAUGGUGACAGUUGUUAAAGCGGGGGAUCGUAAGACCUCGCGCCUAGAGAUGAGCCUGCGGCGGAUUAGCUAGUUGGCAGGGUAAUGGCCUACCAAGGCAACGAUCCGUAGCCGGCCUGAGAGGGCGGACGGCCACACUGGCACUGACAUACGGGCCAGACUCCUACGGGAGGCAGCAGUCGGGAAUUUUGGGCAAUGGGCGAAAGCCUGACCCAGCAACGCCGCGUGAAGGAUGAAGCUUUUCGGAGUGUAAACUUCAUAAGAAUGGGACGAAUAAGGAGGGGUUAACACCCCCUUUGAUGACGGUACCAUUUGUAAGCUCCGGCUAACUCCGUGCCAGCAGCCGCGGUAAUACGGGGGGAGCAAGCGUUGUUCGGAUUUACUGGGCGUAAAGGGCGCGUAGGCGGCGCAACAAGUCACUUGUGAAAUCUCCGGGCUUAACCCGGAGCGGCCAAGUGAUACUGUCGUGCUAGAGUGCGGAAGGGGCUACUGGAAUUCUCGGUGUAGCGGUGAAAUGCGUAGAUAUCGAGAGGAACACCUGCGGCGAAGGCGGGUAGCUGGGCCGACACUGACGCUGAGGCGCGAAAGCCAGGGGAGCGAACGGGAUUAGAUACCCCGGUAGUCCUGGCCUUAAACGAUGGGAUGCUUGG
This 777-nucleotide ribosomal RNA is filed under the name uncultured bacterium. RNAcentral's name for it is "bacterial SSU rRNA". It matches the Rfam family "Bacterial small subunit ribosomal RNA", at positions 65 to 820 of the family's 1533-position model. The record is from RNAcentral.